AUGCUCAUUUUGGCAGCAUAUCCACAAAAAUUUUAACCAUACAGAGAAGAUUAAUAUGGCCACUGCACAAGAAUAACACACCAAUUUAUGAAGCAUUACAUAUUAAA
Molecule: small nuclear RNA, 107 nt
Organism: Sciurus vulgaris (Eurasian red squirrel)
Lineage: Eukaryota; Metazoa; Chordata; Mammalia; Rodentia; Sciuridae
Source: Ensembl